Molecule: ribosomal RNA, 1552 nt
Filed under: Escherichia coli
Lineage: Bacteria; Pseudomonadati; Pseudomonadota; Gammaproteobacteria; Enterobacterales; Enterobacteriaceae
Description: bacterial SSU rRNA
Rfam family: Bacterial small subunit ribosomal RNA
Source: RNAcentral
AAAUUGAAGAGUUUGAUCAUGGCUCAGAUUGAACGCUGGCGGCAGGCCUAACACAUGCAAGUCGAACGGUAACAGGAAGAAGCUUGCUUCUUUGCUGACGAGUGGCGGACGGGUGAGUAAUGUCUGGGAAACUGCCUGACGGAGGGGGAUAACUACUGGAAACGGUAGCUAAUACCGCAUAACGUCGCAAGACCAAAGAGGGGGACCUUCGGGCCUCUUGCCAUCGGAUGUGCCCAGAUGGGAUUAGCUAGUAGGUGGGGUAACGGCUCACCUAGGCGACGAUCCCUAGCUGGUCUGAGAGGAUGACCAGCCACACUGGAACUGAGACACGGUCCAGACUCCUACGGGAGGCAGCAGUGGGGAAUAUUGCACAAUGGGCGCAAGCCUGAUGCAGCCAUGCCGCGUGUAUGAAGAAGGCCUUCGGGUUGUAAAGUACUUUCAGCGGGGAGGAAGGGAGUAAAGUUAAUACCUUUGCUCAUUGACGUUACCCGCAGAAGAAGCACCGGCUAACUCCGUGCCAGCAGCCGCGGUAAUACGGAGGGUGCAAGCGUUAAUCGGAAUUACUGGGCGUAAAGCGCACGCAGGCGGUUUGUUAAGUCAGAUGUGAAAUCCCCGGGCUCAACCUGGGAACUGCAUCUGAUACUGGCAAGCUUGAGUCUCGUAGAGGGGGGUAGAAUUCCAGGUGUAGCGGUGAAAUGCGUAGAGAUCUGGAGGAAUACCGGUGGCGAAGGCGGCCCCCUGGACGAAGACUGACGCUCAGGUGCGAAAGCGUGGGGAGCAAACAGGAUUAGAUACCCUGGUAGUCCACGCCGUAAACGAUGUCGACUUGGAGGUUGUGCCCUUGAGGCGUGGCUUCCGGAGCUAACGCGUUAAGUCGACCGCCUGGGGAGUACGGCCGCAAGGUUAAAACUCAAAUGAAUUGACGGGGGCCCGCACAAGCGGUGGAGCAUGUGGUUUAAUUCGAUGCAACGCGAAGAACCUUACCUGGUCUUGACAUCCACGGAAGUUUUCAGAGAUGAGAAUGUGCCUUCGGGAACCGUGAGACAGGUGCUGCAUGGCUGUCGUCAGCUCGUGUUGUGAAAUGUUGGGUUAAGUCCCGCAACGAGCGCAACCCUUAUCCUUUGUUGCCAGCGGUCCGGCCGGGAACUCAAAGGAGACUGCCAGUGAUAAACUGGAGGAAGGUGGGGAUGACGUCAAGUCAUCAUGGCCCUUACGACCAGGGCUACACACGUGCUACAAUGGCGCAUACAAAGAGAAGCGACCUCGCGAGAGCAAGCGGACCUCAUAAAGUGCGUCGUAGUCCGGAUUGGAGUCUGCAACUCGACUCCAUGAAGUCGGAAUCGCUAGUAAUCGUGGAUCAGAAUGCCACGGUGAAUACGUUCCCGGGCCUUGUACACACCGCCCGUCACACCAUGGGAGUGGGUUGCAAAAGAAGUAGGUAGCUUAACCUUCGGGAGGGCGCUUACCACUUUGUGAUUCAUGACUGGGGUGAAGUCGUAACAAGGUAACCGUAGGGGAACCUGCGGUUGGAUCACCUCCUUACCUUAAAGAA